This 203-nucleotide long non-coding RNA is filed under the name Olea europaea (common olive). RNAcentral's name for it is "long non-coding RNA (OEUR_LNC005473)". The record is from RNAcentral. Lineage: Eukaryota; Viridiplantae; Streptophyta; Magnoliopsida; Lamiales; Oleaceae.
UCACAUUAAACUCAUAAAGACGGUAUCCAUACAAUGGACGAGGCCUAAACUGUGUAUAAUCCCUGGUUAAUUGUAAAGGUCCUUGCCAAAUAUUUUCAUGGGACAAACCCAAGUAACUAACUCGUAUACAUUAAGAUAAGUUCUACAAUCUACUCAAAAUCUCACAGGCACUCUUAUCUUCUUGAAAGAUGAAUGAGUUUUCA